UACAGAGGUGGCAAGCGUUGUUCGGAAUUACUGGGCGUAAAGGGCGCGUAGGCGGUCUUGUAAGUCCUGUGUGAAAUCCCUCGGCUUAACUGAGGAACUGCACGGGAUACUGCGAGACUUGAGAUCGGGAGAGGGAAGCGGAAUUCCGGGUGUAGCGGUGAAAUGCGUAGAUAUCCGGAGGAACACCGGUGGCGAAGGCGGCUUCCUGGGCCGACACUGACGCUGAGGCGCGAAAGCUAGGGGAGCAAACGGG
Molecule: ribosomal RNA, 253 nt
Filed under: uncultured bacterium
Lineage: Bacteria
Description: partial 16S ribosomal RNA
Rfam family: Bacterial small subunit ribosomal RNA
Source: RNAcentral